CAAUAAUAGGCAGUCUUCAAGAUAAUAUUUAACUCUAUGAUUUUUAUCUUCAAAUGAAGGUUUCUUUUUUAAAAAUUAAUGUUUGUAAGGAGAAAACUUCUUUUUGCACAUAAAUUUAAAUGCCCUCAAUUUUGAGAUCCUUUAAGUAAUAAACCCCAAACCAUAAACUUGAUACUGCACAAAAGAAAGAGAAAAGGAAAAUAAGUACAAAUAGUUCUGUGAAUAAAUGAGUCCAACUUUGUAAACAGUACGCAUUUUGGGAUUCUGCAAUUUUUUAAAAAUUAUCACAUAUACUGAAAAACUAUAUGUGAUGAAUUUGAAUUUUGAGUCAACAAGUUUAAUAACAUUAUUUAAAAUUUGGUAUUAAGAGUUCUGAAAGUGCUGGGCAUAGUAAAGUAUGCCUAUAAUCCCAGCCACUUGGGAGUCUGAGGAGAC
Molecule: long non-coding RNA, 435 nt
Filed under: Marmota monax (woodchuck)
Lineage: Eukaryota; Metazoa; Chordata; Mammalia; Rodentia; Sciuridae
Source: RNAcentral